AUUGAACGCUGGCGGCAGGCCUAACACAUGCAAGUCGAGCGGAUGAAGGGAGCUUGCUCCUGGAUUCAGCGGCGGACGGGUGAGUAAUGCCUAGGAAUCUGCCUGGUAGUGUGGGAUAACGUCCGGAAACGGGCGCUAAUACCGCAUACGUCCUGAGGGAGAAAGUGGGGGAUCUUCGGACCUCACGCUAUCAGAUGAGCCUAGGUCGGAUUAGCUAGUUGGUGGGGUAAAGGCCUACCAAGGCGACGAUCCGUAACUGGUCUGAGAGGAUGAUCAGUCACACUGGAACUGAGACACGGUCCAGACUCCUACGGGAGGCAGCAGUGGGGAAUAUUGGACAAUGGGCGAAAGCCUGAUCCAGCCAUGCCGCGUGGGUGAAGAAGGUCUUCGGAUUGUAAAGCACUUUAAGUUGGGAGGAAGGGCAGUAAGUUAAUACCUUGCUGUUUUGACGGUACCAACAGAAUAAGCACCGGCUAACUUCGUG
RNAcentral lists this ribosomal RNA (484 nucleotides) under uncultured bacterium. RNAcentral describes it as "partial 16S ribosomal RNA". It matches the Rfam family "Bacterial small subunit ribosomal RNA", at positions 30 to 507 of the family's 1533-position model. The record is from RNAcentral.